This 406-nucleotide ribosomal RNA is filed under the name uncultured bacterium. RNAcentral's name for it is "partial 16S ribosomal RNA". It matches the Rfam family "Bacterial small subunit ribosomal RNA", at positions 30 to 526 of the family's 1533-position model. The record is from RNAcentral.
AUUGAACGCUGGCGGCAGGCCUAACACAUGCAAGUCGAGCGAGCGGCGGACGGGUGAGUAAUGUAUGGGGAACUGCCUGAUGGAGGGGGAUAACUACUGGAAACGGUAGCUAAUACCGCAUACCAUCGGAUUUACCCAUAUGGGAUUAGCUAGUAGGUGGGGUAAUGGCUCACCUAGGCGACGAUCCCUAGCUGGUCUGAGAGGAUGAACAGCCACACUGGAACUGAGCCACGGCCCAGACUCCUACGGGAGGCAGCAGUGGGGAAUAUUGCACAAUGGGCGCAAGCCUGAUGCAGCCAUGCCGCGUGUAUGAAGAAGGCCCUCGGGUUGUAAAGUACUUUCAGCCGGGAGGCGUUACCCACAGAAGAAGCACCGGCUAACUCCGUGCCAGCAGCCGCGGUAAUUC